UUAAACCUCUAAAGCUUGGCAGUUGUAAUUUUUUAGAGAAACUUGUUUUAUAAUUGUAAAUUCUCAUUAAAUUUAACUUUUAUUAAAAGUUUAUAUACCGCCGUUUCAUUGAAGUAAUAUAAAUAAAAUAUCUAAAUAAACAACUAUUAAAAAAUCAGGUCAAGGUAUAACCCAUAUACAAGUAAAAAUUAGUUACAAAUAAAAAAAAAUUAACAAAAACGUUUUUAAAACAAAAUUCAAAACAGAAUCUAAAAAUAAUAAAAAUAUUAAAAAUUCAAACUGAAAUUAUUGAUUAUAAUGCACACAUCGCCCCGUCGCUC
Molecule: ribosomal RNA, 320 nt
Filed under: Mesabolivar aurantiacus
Lineage: Eukaryota; Metazoa; Arthropoda; Arachnida; Araneae; Pholcidae
Description: partial 12S ribosomal RNA
Source: RNAcentral